CCUCUGAGGCAGGAAACAGACCAGCACCUCGGCAGAAGAAGUGGCAUGAUCUAUAUCUGAAGGUAAACCUGGACAGAGUGAUAUGUGUAUCAUAUUAAAUGUAAAGCUAUGACAUAUUUAAAGGGAACACCUUCUUAUUCGCUGUCAAACAUAGAGAUUGAAAAAUGCCCAAUGCAGAUGAGGGGACAGAUGUCACUGUUUGGAGGUGCACAGACCUGUAAAUGUGGUUUUCAUGUAAAGAACGUAUCUGAAGUCUCUUAUGACGUGCUGGUGUUGAAUACUGUUGUAUUACAAAUUGUUUUUAUCUUGUCUGUGAACCUGUAGCCUUCCAGUUCGCUCCUUGUCUCAGUGCAUCCAGGAACCUCAUGUACAGUGGAACAGCAGCCAGGGCCUUCACCUGGUGAGACGCUACAGCCAGGACUCUACCUGCAGGUUCACCACCACCACCACCACCAAAGGAUGUCUCCUUAGCUAGUGGUGAACCUUGGCAUCAACCUCUGAUGUAUCCAGCCCCAUCACAAGCCCCACAAAAAGAAAAGUGUCACCACCUGGACGCACACUGUUUCUCCUGUGUCUCUUCCUCCUUCUCCUGUUCCUGUAUCAAGCCUCUUCCAUUCUGCCUCCACUGCUACAGCUGAACCCCCUCUGCUCCUCUCACCUUGCCAUUGCCUAAAAAUGUGGGGAUCGUACCUGUUUCAGAUGCUGCCUGGCUGCCCACAAAGCUGCUAAAGACAUUUCAGCAGCCCUGUGGAAAGACCAGCGUCUUUUCAAAGACCUGAAACUGUGGUAUGAUCCACCAGAGUCUUCCCUCAUAUACCAUCAGGUCCUCACUCCUGAGCGCUUCUUCCACCACGACUUUUCUCAUGGAAAAAACAUGGUGUGACAUUCUUUGUCAAUAUGUAUAUAAUGUAAAUAGUUUUAAAAGAAAAAAGUCUUAAUUUGCUGCUGUUCUAUUUUGUUUUUUAACUUUAACACACGUGUUUGUGAGUGUGUGUGUGAAAUUUGUAAUAAAUUUGUUACAUUUCAGUGACUGUCUUCAUUUUUUACUGCAAAAAUGCAAACUCACUCAUAGAAAACGAUAACAUUGUUGCAGUACUUCAUUCAGAAAUAUUAAAAUGACUAUAAAAGUACAUUUAGGUACAUGUGAUAACACUUGGUAGUAGUCUGUGUUAAAGGCCUCAUGUUCCAACGGUGGAAUCGAACCAGCGACCUUUGGGUCAAGAGCCUCCUAUGCUUUUCUGCAGUUAAGUGUCAUAUUUGGUUAAAUUUCUCUAAUUAAUAGACCAGAAUAUGUGUGAUUUUACUUGUGAUGGACAGCAGAGACACUAAUAACUACAGGGUUCUUCCAUCUUUUCAAAAUUUCCUCUCUUUUCCUUCUUUUUCCUUCUUUUUCCUUCUUCCCCCUUCUUCCCCCUCUUCCUUCU
This is a long non-coding RNA of Mugil cephalus (flathead mullet), 1424 nucleotides long. RefSeq lists it as uncharacterized. The record is from RefSeq and is a predicted model, not a curated record. The transcript has 3 exons. Lineage: Eukaryota; Metazoa; Chordata; Actinopteri; Mugiliformes; Mugilidae.